AUUAAAGCCUGUGGACUGAUUUUCAUGCGAAGGGAGCGGGUCCCUUUUGCCAGGAAAAUCCAAAGGAUGUGACGUAUAUGCGUGCUCCCAAGAGCCUUGCCUCAGACAGUAAUAGCUUCUCUUCCGCUAUUCAACAGCGACAACAAACUGCAACACUAGGUAACGUUAUCUUAGAGAUGGAAUCCAGCAAACGGCCGGUUCCCAGCACAACACCGACUCAUACACAAACUCAGAGUAAGCCAAAAAAAAAAAAAAAAAACAUUAAUCUACUGAAUCCUGUCUAGCUAAGUGGAAACGUGAUUGUGGUCGAGUGAAAACUAGAGUGAACAUCGGCAGGGCAUUUGAUUCCUGGAGGGACCAUUGUUUGGUUUUGGGGAUCAAAACAGACCCUGAAUUGGCAUUCUUCUUAUUGGACAGUGGCAAAUUGGAGAGGCACUUCAGCUCAGCAAGAUAGGUCUGUUAUCUGCGGUCCGCAGAUGACAACAUAUGUUGCAGCAUCCAGUGUUUUUGAUGUGGAAAUUGUUGAGAGAAAUUCUAUGCGUGAAGCUGGAGCUCAGGCUCAAACUGCAGUCCUCUUGACUCAUUGUACUCCAAAUGCUCCCCAGUGUUAUUGUUCUUCACUUUAUUGUUCCAAUUUAAUAAAACUAUUUGCCCAG
Molecule: long non-coding RNA, 656 nt
Organism: Myxocyprinus asiaticus (Chinese sucker)
Lineage: Eukaryota; Metazoa; Chordata; Actinopteri; Cypriniformes; Catostomidae
Exons: 3
Source: RefSeq, a predicted model, not a curated record